Molecule: ribosomal RNA, 2542 nt
Filed under: Salmonella enterica
Lineage: Bacteria; Pseudomonadati; Pseudomonadota; Gammaproteobacteria; Enterobacterales; Enterobacteriaceae
Description: partial 23S ribosomal RNA
Rfam family: Bacterial large subunit ribosomal RNA
Source: RNAcentral
AGGGAAAGGCGAAAAGAACCCCGGCGAGGGGAGUGAAAAAGAACCUGAAACCGUGUACGUACAAGCAGUGGGAGCCCCACCACUAAGCCAGUGGUGAACUCCACAUACGCAUCCUUUGCUGAGGAUACGGUUAACGGAGCGAAAGCGACGUUCAACCUCAAAAGAAGCAGAGGGGGCUUAGUGGUGGGGUGACUGCGUACCUUUUGUAUAAUGGGUCAGCGACUUAUAUUCUGUAGCAAGGUUAACCGAAUAGGGGAGCCGGAGGGAAACCGAGUCUUAACCGGGCGUUAAGUUGCAGGGUAUAGACCCGAAACCCGGUGAUCUAGCCAUGGGCAGGUUGAAGGUUGGGUAACACUAACUGGAGGACCGAACCGACUAAUGUUGAAAAAUUAGCGGAUGACCUGUGGCUGGGGGUGAAAGGCCAAUCAAACCGGGAGAUAGCUGGUUCUCCCCGAAAGCUAUUUAGGUAGCGCCUCGUGAAUUCAUCUCCGGGGGUAGAGCACUGUUUCGGCUAGGGGGCCAUCCCGGCUUACCAACCCGAUGCAAACUGCGAAUACCGGAGAAUGUUAUCACGGGAGACACACGGCGGGUGCUAACGUCCGUCGUGAAGAGGGAAACAACCCAGACCGCCAGCUAAGGUCCCAAAGUCAUGGUUAAGUGGGAAACGAUGUGGGAAGGCCCAGACAGCCAGGAUGUUGGCUUAGAAGCAGCCAUCAUUUAAAGAAAGCGUAAUAGCUCACUGGUCGAGUCGGCCUGCGCGGAAGAUGUAACGGGGCUAAACCAUGCACCGAAGCUGCGGCAGCGACGCUGAUGCGUUGUUGGGUAGGGGAGCGUUCUGUAAGCCUGCGAAGGUGGCCUGUGAGGGUUGCUGGAGGUAUCAGAAGUGCGAAUGCUGACAUAAGUAACGAUAAAGCGGGUGAAAAGCCCGCUCGCCGGAAGACCAAGGGUUCCUGUCCAACGUUAAUCGGGGCAGGGUGAGUCGACCCCUAAGGCGAGGCCGAAAGGCGUAGUCGAUGGGAAACGGGUUAAUAUUCCCGUACUUGGUGUUACUGCGAAGGGGGGACGGAGAAGGCUAUGUUGGCCGGGCGACGGUUGUCCCGGUUUAAGCGUGUAGGUGUGUGUUCCAGGUAAAUCCGGUUCACUUUAACACUGAGGCGUGAUGACGAGGCACUACGGUGCUGAAGCAACAAAUGCCCUGCUUCCAGGAAAAGCCUCUAAGCAUCAGGUAACAUCAAAUCGUACCCCAAACCGACACAGGUGGUCAGGUAGAGAAUACCAAGGCGCUUGAGAGAACUCGGGUGAAGGAACUAGGCAAAAUGGUGCCGUAACUUCGGGAGAAGGCACGCUGACACGUAGGUGAAGUGAUUUACUCAUGGAGCUGAAGUCAGUCGAAGAUACCAGCUGGCUGCAACUGUUUAUUAAAAACACAGCACUGUGCAAACACGAAAGUGGACGUAUACGGUGUGACGCCUGCCCGGUGCCGGAAGGUUAAUUGAUGGGGUCAGCGCAAGCGAAGCUCCUGAUCGAAGCCCCGGUAAACGGCGGCCGUAACUAUAACGGUCCUAAGGUAGCGAAAUUCCUUGUCGGGUAAGUUCCGACCUGCACGAAUGGCGUAAUGAUGGCCAGGCUGUCUCCACCCGAGACUCAGUGAAAUUGAACUCGCUGUGAAGAUGCAGUGUACCCGCGGCAAGACGGAAAGACCCCGUGAACCUUUACUAUAGCUUGACACUGAACAUUGAGCCUUGAUGUGUAGGAUAGGUGGGAGGCUUUGAAGUGUGGACGCCAGUCUGCAUGGAGCCGGCCUUGAAAUACCACCCUUUAAUGUUUGAUGUUCUAACGUGGACCCGUGAUCCGGGUUGCGGACAGUGUCUGGUGGGUAGUUUGACUGGGGCGGUCUCCUCCUAAAGAGUAACGGAGGAGCACGAAGGUUGGCUAAUCCUGGUCGGACAUCAGGAGGUUAGUGCAAUGGCAUAAGCCAGCUUGACUGCGAGCGUGACGGCGCGAGCAGGUGCGAAAGCAGGUCAUAGUGAUCCGGUGGUUCUGAAUGGAAGGGCCAUCGCUCAACGGAUAAAAGGUACUCCGGGGAUAACAGGCUGAUACCGCCCAAGAGUUCAUAUCGACGGCGGUGUUUGGCACCUCGAUGUCGGCUCAUCACAUCCUGGGGCUGAAGUAGGUCCCAAGGGUAUGGCUGUUCGCCAUUUAAAGUGGUACGCGAGCUGGGUUUAGAACGUCGUGAGACAGUUCGGUCCCUAUCUGCCGUGGGCGCUGGAGAACUGAGGGGGGCUGCUCCUAGUACGAGAGGACCGGAGUGGACGCAUCACUGGUGUUCGGGUUGUCAUGCCAAUGGCACUGCCCGGUAGCUAAAUGCGGAAGAGAUAAGUGCUGAAAGCAUCUAAGCACGAAACUUGCCCCGAGAUGAGUUCUCCCUGAGACUUAGAGUCUCCUGAAGGAACGUUGAAGACGACGACGUUGAUAGGCCGGGUGUGUAAGCGCAGCGAUGCGUUGAGCUAACCGGUACUAAUGAACCGUGAGGCUUAACCUU